Molecule: ribosomal RNA, 1103 nt
Filed under: Triticum aestivum (bread wheat)
Lineage: Eukaryota; Viridiplantae; Streptophyta; Magnoliopsida; Poales; Poaceae
Description: partial small subunit ribosomal RNA
Source: RNAcentral
CUCCCUAUCCUCCCAGAUCCCAUGGUGCCUGAAUCCACGAAGCAGGCAGGUCCGAGACGCCCUCUCCCGCAGCUCGGACCCCUCCCUUUCCCCAUCUCAGCGAAGCCCCUCCUCCUAGAUCCCACCGCACCCGAGCCCCACCUUUCAUCCUCGUCCAUGAAGCAGGCAGCUUCUAGGCGCCGUCUCCCACAAGCUCAAACCCGAGUUGGUCGAGCCACCUCCCGACAGCGAUCUGCAGCAGGACCGUGCCGCAAGCAGAAACUCCACCAUAACAAUGGCGUCGCCCCGUAUCUCAGAAUUGCCGCCGUCACGCCCUCAUCAUUUGCCAGAAACUUCACCGACGCCCGUCGUCACGACCCUGCAUGCGCGCGUCAACAGGAGCAUCUCCCCGCACUAGCAUCGACCGCCUCUCGUCGUCUCUGCACUCUUUGCUGCUACAUCAGAGGGAUCCGGUGGUGGAGUGCAGGAGGAAGGUGGGGGACGUGGUGGAGUAGCUGGGCCAGUGGUGGUCCUCCGGGCCGAUGGUGGGGUAGCUGGCGCGGCGCGCUGGUCCAAACCAUCUGAGAGGGAGCGCGGGGAUCCGUUCAUUGUCCGCCGCGAGCGGACCUAGUAUUCCGCUGGUUUGUACGUUGACCCGGUGCCCGGUGCUGCGCUGCCACCGACACCGCCCUGCUUCCUCCGGACAGAGGAGUGGCCGGACCAGGGGAGAUGGAGGCGCGGUGCACGCGGCUACCUGGGAUCUCCGGCCAUGGCGAGGAGAAAUGGAGGUGCCCUGGCAGGAUUAGCAGCGGCGUCUCCCUCUCCAGUGGGCGCCGGCGCACCAUAUCUUGCCUUCCCCUCGAACGAAGGCCGACGGCGGCUGCGCGUUUGCGUUAGUUGGGGGAAGAGAGAGGAUAAGGGAGCGUGGGCGACGGGAGGAAGACGCCGGUUUUUCCUUACAUUGCGUGACAUAACUGCGGGUUGAUUUCUAGUAACCGCGAGGGCUGUUCCUCAAAAACGAAACGUUUUUCUGUAUGACUUAAACAUGGAGCGCGGGUUGAUUCUAGAAAACAGUAGGGUCUUUUUUGUAAAAUUGGAUGACGGACGGGCAGAAGCACUAUUUG